This 305-nucleotide unclassified non-coding RNA is filed under the name plant metagenome. Its description in RNAcentral is "partial contains 5.8S ribosomal RNA, internal transcribed spacer 2, and large subunit ribosomal RNA". The stretch from base 1 to 105 matches the Rfam family "5.8S ribosomal RNA", at positions 50 to 154 of the family's 154-position model. The record is from RNAcentral.
GAAAUGCGAUAAGUAAUGUGAAUUGCGGAAUUCAGUGAAUCAUCGAAUCUUUGAACGCACAUUGCGCCCGCCAGUAUUCUGGCGGGCAUGCCUGUUCGAGCGUCAUUUCAACCAUCAAGCCCCCGGCUUGUGUUGGGGACCUGCGGCUGCCCGCAGGCCCUGAAAAACAGUGGCGGGCUCGCUGUCACACCGAGCGUAGUAGCAUACAUUCUCGCUCAGGGCGUGCUGCGGGUUCCGGCCGUUAAACGACCUUCAUAACCCAAGGUUGACCUCGGAUCAGGUAGGAAGACCCGCUGAACUUAAGC